This is a long non-coding RNA of Papaver somniferum (opium poppy), 2858 nucleotides long. RefSeq lists it as uncharacterized. NCBI's taxonomy places the organism in Eukaryota, Viridiplantae, Streptophyta, Magnoliopsida, Ranunculales, Papaveraceae. The transcript is spliced from 8 exons. The record is from RefSeq and is a predicted model, not a curated record.
CCGCCGCUUCUUCUCUGCUUCACUCGGGUUCUUUCGAUGUCUCCAAUUUUCUUCCUUUUCCUCUUGAUUCCACCACCACCAUCCCAAGACUCUCUCGAUCUGACUCUCAAAAGAGAUCUGAAAUUUGUCUAGGAUAAAGAAAACAAAGGUGUAUUGUACCAGCUUGGGGUAAGAACAAGUAUGUCAGGAUGAAAGUACUUCUGCCGCGCCACGGACGAUAAGGAGUAUGCCAGUCUUUAAAGGAGAGGGUUAUGCGGUUCAUGAGGAUCUUCUAAAGAGUAAAAAUUCUCAAAGACACCAAAUACAGCAACAUGGAUGAAAACACUAGAGAAGUUGCAAAGCGUAUUGGAUCCAAAAUCUAAAAUGAUGACCUCAAGACCUAUUUUGGGAAUGCCACAGAGAAUUGGCAGAUUGAGUACCUAUUUGAGUGCAGUCAGAUCACAAUUACUGUACCAGCUAUAAAAGGGAUAGAGAAUGUACUAGUGCUUAGUGCUCUGCUCAAGCAAAUUACAUUAAGAUUUAGGUAAAGGAAAAUUGUGGUCUCUGCUCUGCACAAGUUGACAGGAUUUGGGCCGGAAAAGUUGAUUCACAAUACUUACUGGCUCUUAAUGAAUCUCAAAGGCAGUGGUAUUGGGUACUAUAUCUGCAGUGUAUUGUAACCACAGGUCAACUGUGAAACUUGUUUGGGGUCCACCUGCGACAGGAAAAACCAAAAUCAUCAGUAUAUUACUGCAUAGCUUGCUAAGUAUGAAUUGCAGAACACCUGCUUGUGCCCCAAAAAAACAGUGCCGCUGCUGAACAUGCGCCUCAUAUAUUAAACCUUCACAAAGAUGCUCGCGGAUUGAAGUUAUGUGAUGAUCUUGGAAAGAUUUAUGUGGAUCAUCGUGAGGACAGUCUUCUCGAGUGUUUUGCUCCAUUAACUGGUUGGAAGAAACAUUUCAAUUCCAUGGUAUUUUAUUGAAAAUUGUGCAUCUCGGAAUCGUUUACCUUUGGAGAAUGAAGUAAUUACAGAGGUUCAUGUACAAGUUUGCAAAAGACCGAUUGAGAGCUUUUAGAUGUACCCGUCAAGAGAAGCAUCAGAGUAUUAUGCAUCCAUCUCCCUAAAAGACUUAUUUUGCCAGAGAAUCUUGAAAAGAUGGUUACUCGUUGUGGUUUGCUUGAAUCUUUUGAAAUUUUGCUCUCUCAAAGUCGGGUAACUGACAAGGAAUUGGAGGAACUCUUUGCACGACAAGAAAAUUAUUCCAAGGAGGCACAAGGAAGUCGGGCAUCGAAUGAGGAUUGAAAGUGCAGGUCCUAAGAUAUGUCAGUCAUUCUCUUGCUGAUCGCCUUCCAAGUUCCACCAACAGAAGUUUCUUAACAGAGUUCUGUUUGAAAAAUUCAUCCCUCAUUUUGUCCACAGUGUCAAGCUCAUAUAAUCUGCAUGAGGUAGACCUAGAACCACUGGAUUUGUUGGUAGUUGAUGAAGCUGCUCAGUUGAAAGAGUGUGAAUCAGUGAUUCCCGUGCAGCUUGAAGCUAUAAAACACGCUGUCCUAAUUGGCGAUGAGUGCCAUCCACAAGCUAGGAUCAAAAGCAGGGUAUCUGACGAAGCUGGCUUUGGAAGAAGUCUAUUUGGAAGGUUGGGUUUGUUUGGACAUUUGGAGGACCUUCCCAACAUGCAGUACAGAAUGCAUCCUAAAAUAAGCUCUUUCCCAAACCACAAAUUUUAUAAAGACCAGAUUAGAGAUGUUUGAAGUGUUCUUUGAGAAAAUCUUCAAUGUUUAUCUACCAGGACCUAUGUUUGGUCCCUACUCAUUCAGAAAGUGAACAACCAAUAGCACUAGGUGAAAGAGUGUUGAUUUUGUUUUUACAGAGAGAAAAAUUGAAAAACCCACUUGAAUAUACAUUCUCUCUACUAGUGCUAUUGGUUGUUCACUUGCUCGAAUGCUAAUGCACAAGAUGAAAAGACCCAUGUUUCUAAUGAAGGGAGGAGCUAGAUGAAGCUGGGCAUAGUAUGAAAAAUAUGGUUGAAGUGGCAGUUGUAACGGCAAUAGUGCGAAACCUUUAUAAAGGAACGAAUAGCCGAUUUUUGAAGUUCCGGUAGGCAUAUAUUCACUGGCCCGCACCGAGUCAGACUUUAUAUGUAUGUGGCUGGGAGCAAAUGUCAUGCUAGAAUACACAGGUGAAGAGGCCAGUGCUCUUCUACAAAAGAAGCUUGAUGCAAGCUUAGGGGUCCUUAUUGGUGAUCUACAAUUCUUAAGAGACCAAGUGACGAUAACACAGAUCACUAUCGCUCGGGUGUACAACUGGGAUGCUCACCAGCGCAGAAGUAAGCAAGUUGCUGCAACUGCUGUGAAAGACUCCUGAAGGCUUUUUAUUAUUGCAUGGCCUUUUCCUAGUUACCCUAGUCAGAUUUUUUUUUUAUAUUAGUAGGCGAGGAAUUCGGUGGCGAUCAAAUCCGAAGCUUCGCUCUUGAAAGCAAUAGUUUUCAUGUCUCACUCGGAGACAUUAUUGGCAUCGGGGUCUGAUGUUUACAAGAUCUGGACAGUUUUGCAAAGUCGUACUUUUUGCCAACAUUGCCAACAAGAUUCGAGUUUCAACUCCAAUAACCAGAUAAAUACACUAGCGACCAGAUGGUGUACAACUCAAGUUAAAGCGUUUACGGUAUUGUUUGAUUAUUUUAUAUUAUACUGUUUAAUCUUGAAUAUCAUAUGCAACUGUUAAUCUAUAUAUAUAUAAGUAAACCCUGGAAGAUGGUGGGAAUAUAAUUUUAAAAAAGGGCAUAUACACAACCAGCAGUAUUUCUGUUGUAUAAUCUAUAUACGUGCGUGCCACUCUAUAUAUAUAUAUGGAUAUACGAGUAAUAUAUUGAAUCGUGUAA